UUAAAAAGCUCGUAGUUGGAUCUAGGGACGCGCAUUUCAAGCGCCCGUGUCGUCGGGUCAAACCGGCGACUGCGUUGGCGUUGCGGGCUCGGUCCGUCGGUGCUCACAAAAGCAUCGGCGUGUCAACCGGCCCGCCCGUCCCCUCCUUCUGGAUUCCCGUUCCUGCUAUUGAGUUAGUGGGGACGUCACAGGGGGCUCAUCGUCGUGUCCAUGCAAAUGGCACGGCGGUGGGUCCCUGGGGCCCAGAUCGUUUACCGUGAAAAAAUUAGAGUGUUCAAAGCAGGCAGAUCCAAUUUUCUGCCACCGAAUACAUUAGCAUGGGAUAAUGGAAUAGGACCCUGUCCUCCUAUUUUCAGUUGGUUUUGGCAGCGCGAGGACUAGGGUAAUGAUUAAUAGGGAUAGUUGGGGGCAUUAAUAUUUAAUUGUCAGAGGUGAAAUUCUUGGAUUUAUGAAAGAUUAACUUCUGCGAAAGCAUCUGCCAAGGAUGUUUUCAUUAAUCAAGAACGAAAGUUAGGGGAUCGAAGACGAUCAGAUACCGUCGUAGUCUUAACCAUAAACGAUGCCGACCAGCGAUUAGGAGACGUUGAAUACAAAACACCACCAUCGGCGCGGUCGUCCUUGGCGUGUCUCGGCUUCACGGCUGGCGCGCGAGGGCGGUUUAGCCCGGUGGCACCGGUGAAUGACUCCCCUAGCAGCUUGUGAGAAAUCAUAAGUCUUUGGGUUCCGGGGGGAGUAUGGUCGCAAGGCUGAAAC
RNAcentral lists this ribosomal RNA (753 nucleotides) under Acanthamoeba sp. LC-2012. RNAcentral describes it as "SSU rRNA". It matches the Rfam family "Eukaryotic small subunit ribosomal RNA", at positions 619 to 1143 of the family's 1831-position model. The record is from RNAcentral. Lineage: Eukaryota; Discosea; Longamoebia; Acanthamoebidae.